GAAAUGCAAAACUUCAAUGCCACGGAUAUCUCAAAUUUGCAAGGCCUUUUAAAGGUUUUCUUUGCAAAUGCAGCUCGUUACGUGGUAGUGAAAUCUUCUCUCUUAAAUAAAAUUUCAACUGAAUCAUAUGAUGAGUUACUUUCUACGGCCACUCGACAUCUUAGAGAUGCUCAGAGUAAGGAGAAAUAACAAGCGGAAAAGAUCUCAGCACACAUGUUGAAACUUAAAGAGAUUGAUCGUGAGAAAGUAGAGUUGAGGAAGCGACUUGAGUGCUUGGAUACUCACAGGAAGGAGACGCUUUCACUACUACGAGAAGAGCAAGA
RNAcentral lists this long non-coding RNA (323 nucleotides) under Coffea arabica (coffee). RNAcentral describes it as "long non-coding RNA (CARA_LNC007358)". The record is from RNAcentral. Lineage: Eukaryota; Viridiplantae; Streptophyta; Magnoliopsida; Gentianales; Rubiaceae.